Lactuca sativa (garden lettuce) is the source of this 770-nucleotide long non-coding RNA. RefSeq lists it as uncharacterized. Lineage: Eukaryota; Viridiplantae; Streptophyta; Magnoliopsida; Asterales; Asteraceae. The record is from RefSeq and is a predicted model, not a curated record.
AGUAAUGAGUAAUUUUCUCACGACCUAAAAAUAACGCGUCCAAAAUCAGACGCCUCCUCCACCUUCAUCGAACAGCUCCCUCCAUGUCGCUGCCAUCUCCCUUCUGAUCUCCUCCUUCCUUCAGCCGAAUCUUCUUCUUCUACUGCAGAAAUUCUUCAUCAGCAAUGAAGUAAUCUAAGGUGGUUCUUGUAUAUAAACCCUUUUCGGGUUCAUCUCCGGAGUAGAUAUCGAAUCAAACCUAUGUGUAAUUCGCUGUAAAGUUGUGAGAUUUUCGAGAUUUUUGGUGAAGUUUUCGUCGGCGGAGUCAGGCAGUGGGUGCAAAUGGGUGGAUGAAAUUGGAUCUUUUAGAGAUGGUAAUUUAAGGUUGUGAGGGAAAGAGGAUGAAUAAAUUAGUGGGUUUUGAGAUGGAUGUUUGAAGAGCUGAAGAGUGGGAAGAUGAGUAGAGGGUUUUUGUGGUUUUCGUGGUUUGAUAGUUUUAGUUGACCAUGAAGAUUGAAGGUCACCUCUGGGGCUUGGGGAGAAGAUAGCUGACGAAGUCAUGGUUACCUUCGUUGAUAUUGGUUGCUUCUGGUUUGAGAGGUGGAAUGGGUGGAUAAGGAGUGGAAAUCAGGUUGAAGAAGACGAUGAGUAAACCCUGCCUAAAACCUUGUGUUUCUUGCCCUUCUUAUUUUUGUGUAUUGCUCUAUCUAUGUAAAGCUUCAAUGUGUAUUGCUCUAUCUGUGUAAAGCUUCAAAAGUUGGAUUUAUAAAUCUAUCUGAUUUUGUUAUAAA